CGCCGGGAAUCUCACCGGGGGCGACAGCAGGAUGACGGCCAGGUUAAAGGCCUUGCCCGACGCGCUGAGGGGAGGUGCAUGGCCGUCGCCAGCUCGUGCCGUGAGGUGUCCUGUUAAGUCAGGCAACGAGCGAGACCCCCGCCCCUAGUUGCUACCCCAGGGGCGACCCUGGGGGCACACUAGGGGGACUGCCGCCGCUAAGGCGGAGGAAGGAGGGGGCCACGGCAGGUCAGCAUGCCCCUAAUCCCCCGGGCUGCACGCGGGCUACAAUGGCGGGGACAGCGGGUGCCGACCCCGAAAGGGGGAGGCAAUCCCUCAAACCCCGCCGCAGUUGGGAUCGAGGGCUGCAACUCGCCCUCGUGAACGCGGAAUCCCUAGUAACCGCGCGUCAACAUCGCGCGGUGAAUACGUCCCUGCUCC
This 420-nucleotide ribosomal RNA is filed under the name uncultured Desulfurococcales archaeon. RNAcentral's name for it is "bacterial SSU rRNA". It matches the Rfam family "Archaeal small subunit ribosomal RNA", at positions 916 to 1336 of the family's 1478-position model. Lineage: Archaea; Thermoproteati; Thermoproteota; Thermoprotei; Desulfurococcales. The record is from RNAcentral.